RNAcentral lists this ribosomal RNA (844 nucleotides) under uncultured bacterium. Its description in RNAcentral is "bacterial SSU rRNA". It matches the Rfam family "Bacterial small subunit ribosomal RNA", at positions 28 to 843 of the family's 1533-position model. The record is from RNAcentral.
AACGAACGCGGGCGGCGUGGAUAAGACAUGCAAGUCGAGCGCUAAUCAACAGGUAGCAAUAUUUGUUGGUUGGAGCGGCGCAAGGGUGCGUAACACGUGGGUAAUCUGCCAUGAAGUUUGGGAUAACUUGCUGAAAGGCGAGCUAAUACCGGAUGUGACGGCGGGGGGGCAUCUCCCUGUUUUCAAAGCUGGGGACCGUAAGGCCUGGCGCUUCAUGAUGAGCCCGCGACCUAUCAUGGUAGUUGGUGAGGUAACGGCUCACCAAGCCGAAGACGGGUAGCUGGUCUGAGAGGACGACCGGCCACACUGGAACUGAGACACGGUCCAGACACCUACGGGUGGCAGCAGUCGAGAAUUUUUCACAAUGGGCGCAAGCCUGAUGGAGCGACGCCGCGUGGGGGAUGAAUGGCUUCGGCCCGUAAACCCCUGUCAUUUGCGAUCAAACCUCGGUAUUUAAAAGAUGCCGAGCUGAUAGUAGCGGAAGAGGAAGGGACGGCUAACUCUGUGCCAGCAGCCGCGGUAAUACAGAGGUCCCAAGCGUUGUUCGGAUUCACUGGGCGUAAAGGGUGCGUAGGUGGUGAGGUAAGUCGGAUGUGAAAUCUCCGAGCUCAACUCGGAAAAUGCAUUGGAAACUACCUUGCUGGAGGGUUGGAAGGGGGACUGGAAUACUUGGUGUAGCAGUGAAAUGCGUAGAUAUCAAGUGGAACACCAGUGGCGAAGGCGAGUCCCUGGACAACACCUGACACUGAGGCACGAAAGCUAGGGGAGCAAACAGGAUUAGAUACCCUGGUAGUCCUAGCCGUAAACGGUGCACGUUUGCUGUAAAAGGAAUCGACCCCUUUUG